AUGGUAGGAUAGAGGCCUACCAUGGUUUUAACGGGUAACGGGGAAUUAGGGUUCGAUUCCGGAGAGGGAGCCUGAGAAACGGCUACCACAUCCAAGGAAGGCAGCAGGCGCGCAAAUUACCCAAUCCCGACACGGGGAGGUAGUGACAAUAAAUAACAAUAUGGGGCUCUUACGAGUCUCGUAAUUGGAAUGAGUACAAUUUAAAUCUCUUAACGAGGAACAAUUGGAGGGCAAGUCUGGUGCCAGCAGCCGCGGUAAUUCCAGCUCCAAUAGCGUAUAUUAAAGUUGUUGCAGUUAAAAAGCUCGUAGUUGAAUUUCUGAAUCUGUCCGUCGGUCGGGCUUCACUGUCCGUACUGGUGUGAUGGGUUUCUACCUUCUGAAUAACCGGCAUGUCAUUAAUUUGGUGCGCCGGGGAAGCAGAACUAUUACCUUGAAAAAAUUAGAGUGCUUAAAGCAGGCUAUCGCCUGAAUAGAUUAGCAUGGAAUAAUAAAAUAGGACGGCAUGGUUCUAUUUUGUUGGUUUCUAGGAUCACCGUAAUGAUUAAUAGGGAUAGUUGGGGGCAUUAGUAUUCAAUUGUCAGAGGUGAAAUUCUUGGAUUUAUUGAAGACUAACUUCUGCGAAAGCAUUUGCCAAGGAUGUUUUCAUUAAUCAAGAACGAAAGUUAGGGGAUCGAAGACGAUCAGAUACCGUCGUAGUCUUAACCAUAAACUAUGCCGACUAGGGAUCGGACGAUGUUAAUUUUUUAAUGACUCGUUCGGCGCCUUACGGGAAACCAAAGUGUUUGGG
This 787-nucleotide ribosomal RNA is filed under the name uncultured Acaulospora. RNAcentral describes it as "SSU rRNA". It matches the Rfam family "Eukaryotic small subunit ribosomal RNA", at positions 325 to 1111 of the family's 1831-position model. The record is from RNAcentral. Lineage: Eukaryota; Fungi; Glomeromycota; Glomeromycetes; Diversisporales; Acaulosporaceae.